UCUCAACCAUCAAGGACUAAUUCACUUUAGUUCUCUCAAAUCAAAAGUGUUUACAAAAACAAUACGAAAUCUCCAAGUAUUUAAUCCUGUUAAGGCAUUAACAUAUGAAAUAGGGGUUGGAAAUUCUAUUUUCUUAUCAGUACUCUCUUUUUCGAACCUCAACCUUUCUAUCAAACAAUUUGAGUUUUAAGGCACAUCCUCUAUGUUUGCAACCACGAGAA
Molecule: long non-coding RNA, 221 nt
Filed under: Capsicum annuum
Lineage: Eukaryota; Viridiplantae; Streptophyta; Magnoliopsida; Solanales; Solanaceae
Description: long non-coding RNA (CANN_LNC012543)
Source: RNAcentral